CCUACGGGAGGCAGCAGUGAGGAAUAUUGGUCAAUGGGCGCGAGCCUGAACCAGCCAAGUAGCGUGAAGGAUGACUGCCCUAUGGGUUGUAAACUUCUUUUAUAAAGGAAUAAAGUGAGGCACGUGUGCCUUUUUGUAUGUACUUUAUGAAUAAGGAUCGGCUAACUCCGUGUCAGCAGCCGCGGUAAUACGGAGGAUCCGAGCGUUAUCCGGAUUUAUUGGGUUUAAAGGGAGCGUAGGUGGGUUGUUAAGUCAGUUGUGAAAGUUUGCGGCUCAACCGUAAAAUUGCAGUUGAUACUGGCAGCCUUGAGUACAGUAGAGGUAGGCGGAAUGCGUGGUGUAGCGGUGAAAUGCUUAGAUAUCACGAAGAACUCCGAUUGCGAAGGCAGCUUACUAGACUGCCACUGACGUUGAUGCUCGAAAGUGUGGGUAUCAAACAGGAUUAGAUACCCGGGUAGUC
RNAcentral lists this ribosomal RNA (460 nucleotides) under uncultured bacterium. RNAcentral describes it as "partial 16S ribosomal RNA". It matches the Rfam family "Bacterial small subunit ribosomal RNA", at positions 338 to 795 of the family's 1533-position model. The record is from RNAcentral.